GCCCCAGACUCCUACGGGAGGCAGCAGUGGGGAAUAUUGCACAAUGGGGGAAACCCUGAUGCAGCGACGCCGCGUGAAGGAAGAAGUCUUUCGGUAUGUAAACUUCUAUCAGCAGGGAAGAAAAUGACGGUACCUGACUAAGAAGCCCCGGCUAACUACGUGCCAGCAGCCGCGGUAAUACGUAGGGGGCAAGCGUUAUCCGGAUUUACUGGGUGUAAAGGGAGCGUAGACGGCGACGCAAGUCUGGAGUGAAAGCCCGGGGCCCAACCCCGGGACUGCUCUGGAAACUGCGUCGCUGGAGUACGGGAGGGGCAGGCGGAAUUCCUGGUGUAGCGGUGAAAUGCGUAGAUAUCAGGAGGAACACCGGCGGCGAAGGCGGCCUGCUGGACCGUGACUGACGUUGAGGCUCGAGAGCGUGGGGAGCAAACAGGAUUAGAUACCCCCGUAA
RNAcentral lists this ribosomal RNA (448 nucleotides) under uncultured bacterium. RNAcentral's name for it is "bacterial SSU rRNA". It matches the Rfam family "Bacterial small subunit ribosomal RNA", at positions 328 to 793 of the family's 1533-position model. The record is from RNAcentral.